This 1005-nucleotide ribosomal RNA is filed under the name uncultured prokaryote. RNAcentral's name for it is "bacterial SSU rRNA". It matches the Rfam family "Bacterial small subunit ribosomal RNA", at positions 41 to 1063 of the family's 1533-position model. The record is from RNAcentral.
CGCGGGCUACCAUGCAGUCGGACGGUAGCACAGAGAAGCUGGUUCCUCGUGUGACGAGUGGCACACGGGUGAGUAGUGUGGGGAGAUCCGCCAGAUAGAGGGAGAUAACCUGUGGAAACUGUGGCUAAUACCGUAUAGCGUCAAGAGACCAAAGAGGGAGACCUUCGGGCCUCUCUCUAUCAUAUGAACCCAUAUGGUAUUAUCUAGUGCGCGGGGUAACGGCCCCCCUGCGACACUAUCCCUAUGUGGUCUGAGAGGAUGACCAGCCACUGUGGAUCUGACACACGGUCCACACUCCUACGGGGGGCAACUGUGGGAAAUAUUGCACAGUGGGCGCACGCGUGAUGCACCCGUGCCGCGUGUAUGAAAAGGGUCUUCGGUUUGUAAAGUAUUUUCCGCGGAGAAGAGGGCAGUGGGGUUUAUAACCUUAGUGAUUGAUUUUCCCCGGAAAAAAAGCCCCGGCUAUCUCCGUGCCCGCCCCCGCGGUAAUACAGAGGGUGCAAGCGUUAAUCAAAAUUAGUGGGUGUAACGCGCACAGGGGGUGUGUGAUAUCUGAGAUGUGAACCCCCGGGUCUACAUGUGGACUCUGCUUUUAAAUCUGGCGCGUGAGACUCUCGUAGAGGGGGAUAGUAUUACGUGUGUAGCGGUGAAGUGCAUAGAGAUCUAGAAGUACAGGUGUGGAGAGCGCGCCCCCUGUGCAAGACACUGACUCUCGUGUGCGAGCGCGUGGGCGCACACGAGAAUAUAUACUGUGGUACUACACGCAUACACUAUCUCCAUUAGUGUUGCUCUUGUGAAGAGUGUUUCCAGAUCUCACGCGAAACUAGAGCGUGUGGAGUGUACGCGCGGUUUAACUCUCAUGAGAAUUCAGGGGGCGCGCACGCGUGUAGAGCGUGUGUUAUACUCUAUGCACGCGAGAUAUAUCUACUCGAGACUCACGACUCACAGAUGAUGCUUAGUCUCUCGAACCGUGACACAUGCUGCUGCAUGUCUGUCUCAUCUCGU